RNAcentral lists this transfer RNA (77 nucleotides) under Azonexus fungiphilus. RNAcentral's name for it is "tRNA-Arg". It matches the Rfam family "tRNA". Rfam says of the family: Transfer RNA (tRNA) molecules are approximately 80 nucleotides in length. Their secondary structure includes four short double-helical elements and three loops (D, anti-codon, and T loops). Lineage: Bacteria; Pseudomonadati; Pseudomonadota; Betaproteobacteria; Rhodocyclales; Azonexaceae. The record is from RNAcentral. RNAcentral also lists the same sequence under 15 other names.
CCGCCCGUAGCUCAGCUGGAUAGAGUACUGCCCUCCGAAGGCAGGGGUCGUGCGUUCGAAUCGCGCCGGGCGGGCCA